CCUACGGGAGGCAGCAGUGAGGAAUAUUGGUCAAUGGACGAGAGUCUGAACCAGCCAAGUAGCGUGAAGGAUGACUGCCCGAUGGGGUGUAAACUGCUUUUAUAUGGGAAUAAAAUGUUCCACGUGUGGGAUUUUGUAUGUACCAUAUGAAUAAGGAUCGGCUAACUCCGUGCCAGCAGCCGCGGUAAUACGGAGGAUCCGAGCGUUAUCCGGAUUUAUUGGGUUUAAAGGGAGCGUAGGGGGAUUGUUAAGUCAGUUGUGAAAGUUUGCGGCUCAACCGUAAAAUUGCAGUUGAAACUUGCAGUCUUGAGUACAGUAGCGGUUGGCGGUCUUCGUGUUGUAGCGG
RNAcentral lists this ribosomal RNA (346 nucleotides) under uncultured bacterium. RNAcentral's name for it is "partial 16S ribosomal RNA". It matches the Rfam family "Bacterial small subunit ribosomal RNA", at positions 338 to 681 of the family's 1533-position model. The record is from RNAcentral.